RNAcentral lists this ribosomal RNA (424 nucleotides) under uncultured bacterium. RNAcentral's name for it is "partial 16S ribosomal RNA". It matches the Rfam family "Bacterial small subunit ribosomal RNA", at positions 360 to 776 of the family's 1533-position model. The record is from RNAcentral.
AAUAUUGGACAAUGGGGGAAACCCUGAUCCAGCCAUCCCGCGUGUAUGAUGAAGGCCUUCGGGUUGUAAAGAUCUUUUGGCAGAGAAGAAAAGGUAUCCCCUAAUACGGGAUAGUGCUGACGGUAUCUGCCGACUAAGCACCGGCUAACUACGUGCCAGCAGCCGCGGUAAUACGUAGGGUGCAAGCGUUAAUCGGAAUUACUGGGCGUAAAGCGUGUGUGGGCGGUUCGGGAAGAAAGAUGUGAAAUCCCAGGGCUCAAACCUGGAACUGCAUUUUUAACUGCCGAGCUAGAGUAUGUGAGAGGGAGGUAGAAUUCCACGUGUAGCAGUGAAAUGCGUAGAUAUGUGGAGGAAUACCGAUGGCGAAGGCAGCCCCCUGGGAUAAUACUGACGCUCAGACACGAAAGCGUGGGGAGCAAACAGG